CACCCAAAGCCUUAGCUUCUGGCUCACGCUCCCUAUUUCCUCCUCAGGCUCCUCCUUGCCCGUGAAGACCUUAUUGUGGUGUGGAUAACGCUGAGGUUUACAAUGCAGAGGCCUGCAUGCCAGAAACGCCUGAGGUCCCUGUCAGUUCCUAUAGCCCCAUGCCAGUCUCUUCAUGUCCCUGUCACAUGGCUUCCUUCCUGGUCCAUCCUAGGAGGAUACCUGCACCCAUCUCUGGAUGAGGAUUUAUGAAUUAUGUCUGGAGAGCACUUUGGAUGGGCAACAACAUACAGAGAAACCAAAUCAUUUCGCCAAGGAAGGAGACGUGGCCUUCACAACCAUGCGUAGAUCUCGACUGGACCUGGAGAGCAAAGUUGGUGGCUGAUGCUCAGAUCUGUGUUCUAAUUUGCACCUGCGCAUUAGAGAUUGACAGUUAAAUAUAGUAGACCUCCAGCUCUUCUAGAUGAAGGCUUCCUCUUCUCCAAGGUAUCAAAGGUAAGCUACUUAUCCUCCCUUUCAAGGGAACUCUCUGGCCUAACUCCACCCUGCAUG
RNAcentral lists this long non-coding RNA (549 nucleotides) under Chrysemys picta bellii (western painted turtle). RNAcentral's name for it is "lncRNA (ENSCPBG00000017420.1)". Lineage: Eukaryota; Metazoa; Chordata; Testudines; Emydidae. The record is from RNAcentral.